Molecule: RNA transcript, 976 nt
Organism: Fragaria vesca subsp. vesca
Lineage: Eukaryota; Viridiplantae; Streptophyta; Magnoliopsida; Rosales; Rosaceae
Exons: 2
Source: RefSeq, a predicted model, not a curated record
CCAAGAAAAGGAGGAAGAAACAACAACUGUCUGAGUUAUAUCAUAGUAUCAUUGCGUCUGUAGCCACCUAAUUCUCUAGUCUUAGCUUCCGCGUUGUUCAAUUCAAUAGUUCCCAAUUUCUGUUUUCCCCAAAUCUCAAAACCCUAGCCUAUCGAUUGAAGCUGUGCCGUCCUCAAUUGAAGCAAGUGCGACUUCAUCUGCAGUCGGGCUCUGAUCGCCAACCUCGCCUUCUUUUCUAGUUUUGAGUUCUCUGCUCGCACAUCUCACUGGCGCCAUCUUCACGCUUCUGAUCCUCGUUGCCCUCUCAGCCCCGAUUUGCAGUCUUUGGUCACCGAUUCGUUUUACAUAGUUUGCUGCUAUGCUACUGGGUUUAUUCUUCAUCAUGUUGCACUACUACCGGUGAGAUUCUUCCAGCAAGCUCUUUCUCCUCUUUUAUAUACCUGCUGCAAAUCAAGAUGGAAGCUAGUCUUAUCAUAUCAUGAUGGGUUUUUGAAUUGGAUGUUAUCUUGUAAUUGGCUAUAGCUGUGUAUUUUUCCAACCAGUAUGCUUGUUACCAAGCAUAUGGUUGAGGGGGGACUGUUAACAGUGUAGCACUUAUAUUAGUCUUUUGGCUUGUAAUACCUAUUGCCUAGCUGAGUUGUACUGUUCUCCUUAUCUAAGAAUUCACAAUGUAGUUCUUUACAGAUUUAACGUUUUCCUUUACUGCUUCCUUUUAUUUUCUGCAUCUGGCUUCAAUAAUCCAUGAUUUCUAGAAUCCUAUCAAGGUUUAAUCGUUGUUUUGGAUCUUGCUAAUGAUAAUUAUAGUAGGAUUUAUGUAGUUAUCCGUAAGAAGUCUAUUAAUUUUUUGUCUCAACUUCAAGCCUCAAACCCAAUGUACUUCGCAUAUUAGAGUGAAAAUUACAAACUGAAUUAAUUGUGAAUCAAAUGUAUUCGAUACAAUUGUGGUAGGUGCCUAGGCGGGUAGAUACUGUAGUAU